AGAGUUUGAUCCUGGCUUAUGGUGAACGCUGGCGGUAUGGAUAAGGCAUGCAAGUCGAAUGGGUUUAGACCCAUGGCAGACGAGGUAGUAACACGUAGGAACGUACCCAGAAGUCGGGCAUAACCCAUCGAAAGGUGGGAUAACUCCCGAUGGUCUCCCAAGAGUAAAGAUUUAUCGCUUCUGGAGCGGCCUGCGUAAUAUCAGCUAGUUGGUGAGGUAAUGGCUCACCAAGGCUAUGACGUUUAGGGGACCUGAGAGGGUGACCCCCACCGAUGAUACUGAGACACGGAUCAUACCCCUACGGGGGGCUGCAGCCGAGAAUAUUCGACAAUGGGCGCAAGCCUGAUCGAACGAUUCCUUUCUGUGAAAGAAACGUUUCUCCCGAAAAACCUUUUAUGAGAAAAAAGUUUUUUGCCUUUCUUCCUCCCAUGAAUAAGGGGCUCCUAACUCUGUGCCAGCAGGAGCGGUAAUACAGAGGCCCCGAGCGUUACCGGGAAUUACUGUGCGUAAAGAGUGCGUAGGUGGUCGUGUUAGUCGUUUGUU
This 543-nucleotide ribosomal RNA is filed under the name uncultured bacterium. RNAcentral's name for it is "bacterial SSU rRNA". It matches the Rfam family "Bacterial small subunit ribosomal RNA", at positions 8 to 596 of the family's 1533-position model. The record is from RNAcentral. RNAcentral also lists the same sequence under 1 other name.